RNAcentral lists this ribosomal RNA (116 nucleotides) under Desulfoluna butyratoxydans. Lineage: Bacteria; Pseudomonadati; Thermodesulfobacteriota; Desulfobacteria; Desulfobacterales; Desulfolunaceae. The record is from RNAcentral.
CGGUGGUGAUUGCAAAGAGGCCACACCCGUUCCCAUCCCGAACACGGAAGUUAAGCUCUUUUGCGCCGAUGGUACUGCACGGGUAGCUGUGUGGGAGAGUAGGACGCUGCCGGAUU